This 273-nucleotide ribosomal RNA is filed under the name uncultured bacterium. RNAcentral describes it as "partial 16S ribosomal RNA". It matches the Rfam family "Bacterial small subunit ribosomal RNA", at positions 524 to 796 of the family's 1533-position model. The record is from RNAcentral.
UACGUAGGGUGCGAGCGUUAAUCGGAAUUACUGGGCGUAAAGCGUGCGCAGGCGGUGUCGCAAGUCGAGCGUGAAAGCCCCGGGCCCAACCCGGGAACGGCGCUCGAGACUGCGGCGCUGGAGUGCGGCAGAGGAAGGCGGAAUUCCGCAUGUAGCGGUGAAAUGCGUAGAGAUGCGGAGGAACACCGAUGGCGAAGGCAGCCUUCUGGGCCAACACUGACGCUCAUGCACGAAAGCGUGGGGAGCAAACAGGAUUAGAAACCCCAGUAGUCC